This 468-nucleotide ribosomal RNA is filed under the name uncultured bacterium. RNAcentral describes it as "partial 16S ribosomal RNA". It matches the Rfam family "Bacterial small subunit ribosomal RNA", at positions 28 to 507 of the family's 1533-position model. The record is from RNAcentral.
GACGAACGCUGGCGGCGUGCUUAACACAUGCAAGUCGAACGGAAAGGCCCCGCUUUUGUGGGGUUCUCGAUUGGCGAACGGGUGAGUAACACGUGAGUAACCUGCCCUUGACUUUGGGAUAACUUCAGGAAACUGGGGCUAAUACCGGAUAGGAGCUCCUGCAGCAUGGUGGGGGUUGGAAAGUUUCGGCGGUUGGGGAUGGACUCGCGGCUUAUGAGCUUGUUGGUGGGGUAGUGGCGUACCCAGGCUUUGACGGGUACCCGGCCUGAGAGGGUGACCGGCCACAUUGGGACUGAGAUACGGCCCAGACUCCUACGGGAGGCAGCAGUGGGGAAUAUUGCACAAUGGGCGGAAGCCUGAUGCAGCAACGCCGCGUGCGGGAUGACGGCCUUCGGGUUGUAAACCGCUUUCGCCUGUGACGAAGCGUGAGUGACGGUAAUGGGUAAAGAAGCACCGGCUAACUACGUG